Molecule: long non-coding RNA, 1025 nt
Filed under: Vulpes vulpes (red fox)
Lineage: Eukaryota; Metazoa; Chordata; Mammalia; Carnivora; Canidae
Description: lncRNA (ENSVVUG00000009308.1)
Source: RNAcentral
GGCCACCGCGCAGCAUGGUGGGGUCCCUCCCCGACCUCACAGACGAGAGCGAGGGAGCCUCUGCUGCUGGGGGCCUGCCCUGGGGCCUCACGCCGCCCCAGCGUCGCCACUGACAAAGCCUCAGACAUCCAGCGACGUGGGCUCUGAGUCCAGGGUGCGGGGCCGUCAGACAUUUCAGCUGCAUCUUCACAUUCGUUUGUGCCCACGGUCAGCAGAGUCCUCGGGAGGCCGGGGCCUGAGUCACCCCUGGCCCGGGGGAGGACGCCCUGGGCAGGCCCUGGCUCACCCCUCCCGCACCGCACACCCCUCGGCGCACCUGCCAUCUGCACCUGCCUCCUCCAAAUCCCACCGCUGACUCCCCCCCACCCCACCGAGGGCCUAGAUAAACGCAUCUGCGAGCCCUCGGCCCACGCAGAGGGUGUUGGAUGUUGCACAGAUGUUCCCCCAAGACAAACGGUCAUGAAAGAGGAAAAAAUAAUCAUAUAAGUGAACGAAAGGAAAUUGCAGCAAAACCUAAAGUUCCUGGAGAUGAAGGUGGAAAACAGGUAGUUGGAGAGCAGCUGUCCUCAGCACGCUGGCCGGAGCUCGCUGGCGCCGUGACUCGUGAGGGGACUGCACCUGGAGCCCAGGUACCAUCUUCUGGAAAUGCACAUUCAUAGAUUAUUUUAAAAUCACAGUUUCCGUUAUCCUAGUGGAAAUUCAGUCGGUUUGCACUUCUCUGAUCAAUUAUAACCCAUUAAGUCCUCGAAAGUGAUUUGGAAAUGACCGUGCUGUGCCGCAGUGACCCCACGGACCUGAGACGCAAGGGGAGCCCGUGGCCCUGAACCUCUCUAGUGGGACGGCGCGACCGCGGAGCCCAUGUGAGCAGCGAGUGGGAACACAGAGGAAUGUGAAGAGGCCGUAAAACACCGUUGGGUUCGAGGCUCCCGUCCUGCCCCCCGGACACUGUGGGCUCCCCGAGACCCCAAUCCUGCCCCUGGACACUGUUGGCUUCCCGAGGCCCCCAUCCUGCGCCCCUGGACACC